AGAGUUUGAUCCUGGCUCAGAACGAACGCUGGCGGCGUGCUUAACACAUGCAAGUCGAACGCGAAAGGGACUUCGGUCCUGAGUAGAGUGGCGCACGGGUGAGUAACGCGUAAGUGAUCUACCCCUGUAUUUGGGAUAACUAUGGGAAACUGUAGCUAAUACCGGAUACGUUCAUGUAGUUGCGAUUAUGUGAAGAAAGAUGGCCUCUGAUUCAAGCUAUUGUACAGGGAGGAGCUUGCGUACCAUUAGCUAGUUGGUAGGGUAAUGGCCUACCAAGGCAACGAUGGUUAGCGGGUCUGAGAGGAUGAUCCGCCACACUGGAACUGAAACACGGACCAGACUCCUACGGGAGGCAGCAGUGAGGAAUAUUGCGCAAUGGGGGCAACCCUGACGCAGCGACGCCGCGUGGAUGAUGAAGGCCUUCGGGUCGUAAAAUCCUGUCAGAUGGAAAGAAGUGUGAUGUGGUUAAUACCCACGUCAUUUGACGGUACCAUCAGAGGAAGCACCGGCUAACUCUGUGCCAGCAGCCGCGGUAAGACAGAGGUGGCGAGCGUUGUUCGGAAUUACUGGGCUUAAAGGGCGAGUAGGCGGUGGGACAAGUCUGAGGUGGAAUCCUAUGGCUUAACCAUAGAACUGCCUUAGAAACUGUUUUACUUGAGUCAGUGAGGGGAGGGCGGAAUUCCCGGUGUAGCGGUGAAAUGCGUAGAUAUCGGGAGGAAGGCCGGUGGCGAAGGCGGCCCUCUGGCACUGUACUGACGCUGAGGCGCGAAAGCGUGGGGAGCAAACAGGAUUAGAUACCCUGGUAGUCC
Molecule: ribosomal RNA, 809 nt
Filed under: uncultured bacterium
Lineage: Bacteria
Description: bacterial SSU rRNA
Rfam family: Bacterial small subunit ribosomal RNA
Source: RNAcentral